UGGCUCAGAACGAACGCUGGCGGCGUGCUUAACACAUGCAAGUCGAGCGGUAAGGCCCUUUUGGGGGUACACGAGCGACGAACGGGUGAGUAACACGUGGGUGACCUGCCCUCCACUUCGGGAUAAGCCUGGGAAACUGGGUCUAAUACCGGAUAGGACCAUUGGAUGCAUGUCUGGUGGUGGAAAGUUUUUCGGUGGGGGAUGGGCCCGCGGUCUAUCAGCUUGUUGGUGGGGUGAUGGCCUACCAAGGCGACGAGGGAUAGCCGGCCUGAGAGGGUGAUCGGCCACACUGGGACUGAUAUCACGGCCCAGACGGAUACGGGAGGCAGCA
This 331-nucleotide ribosomal RNA is filed under the name uncultured Pseudonocardiaceae bacterium. RNAcentral's name for it is "bacterial SSU rRNA". It matches the Rfam family "Bacterial small subunit ribosomal RNA", at positions 20 to 353 of the family's 1533-position model. Lineage: Bacteria; Bacillati; Actinomycetota; Actinomycetes; Pseudonocardiales; Pseudonocardiaceae. The record is from RNAcentral.